UCGGGAAUUUUGGGCAAUGGGCGAAAGCCUGACCCAGCAACGCCGCGUGAAGGAUGAAGUAUUUCGGUAUGUAAACUUCGUAAGAAUAGGAAGAAUAAAUGACGGUACUAUUUGUAAGGUCCGGCUAACUUCGUGCCAGCAGCCGCGGUAAUACGAAGGGAGCUAGCGUUGUUCGGAAUCACUGGGCGUAAAGCGCACGUAGGUGGGCAGUUAAGUCAGGGGUGAAAGCCCGAGGCUCAACCUCGGAAUUGCCUCUGAUACUGGCUGUCUAGAGUUCGAGAGAGGUGAGUGGAAUUCCUAGUGUAGAGGUGAAAUUCGUAGAUAUUAGGAAGAACACCGGUGGCGAAGGCGGCUCACUGGCUCGAUACUGACACUGAGGUGCGAAAGCGUGGGGAGCAAACAGGAUUAGAUACCCCCGUAGUCCCUGAGCGGGCUGGCAAGGCGCAU
This 447-nucleotide ribosomal RNA is filed under the name uncultured bacterium. Its description in RNAcentral is "bacterial SSU rRNA". It matches the Rfam family "Bacterial small subunit ribosomal RNA", at positions 355 to 825 of the family's 1533-position model. The record is from RNAcentral.